RNAcentral lists this ribosomal RNA (253 nucleotides) under uncultured bacterium. RNAcentral describes it as "partial 16S ribosomal RNA". It matches the Rfam family "Bacterial small subunit ribosomal RNA", at positions 524 to 776 of the family's 1533-position model. The record is from RNAcentral.
UACGGAGGGUGCGAGCGUUGUCCGGAUUUAUUGGGCGUAAAGGGCGCGUAGGCGGGCUGAUAAGUCAGGGGUGAAAUCCCAAGGCUCAACCUUGGAACUGCCUUUGAUACUGUCGGCCUUGAGUCCGGGAGAGGUGAGUGGAACUGCGAGUGUAGAGGUGAAAUUCGUAGAUAUUCGGAGGAACACCAGUGGCGAAGGCGGCCCACUGGCUCGACACUGACGCUGAGGCGCGAAAGCGUGGGGAGCAAACAGG